GGCUCUUCGGAGCUAGUGGCGGACGGGUGAGUAACGCGUGAGAAUCUGCCUUCAGGUCUGGGACAACAGAAGGAAACUUCUGCUAAUCCCGGAUGAGCCCUUGGGUAAAAGAUAAAUUGCCUGGAGAUGAGCUCGCGUCUGAUUAGCUAGUUGGUGUGAUAAAAGCAUACCAAGGCGACGAUCAGUAGCUGGUCUGAGAGGAUGAGCAGCCACACUGGGACUGAGACACGGCCCAGACUCCUACGGGAGGCAGCAGUGGGGAAUUUUCCGCAAUGGGCGAAAGCCUGACGGAGCAAGACCGCGUGGGGGAGGAAAGCUCUAGGGUUGUACACCCCUUUUCUUUGGGAAGAAGUACUGACGGUACCAAAGGAAUCUGCCUCGGCUAACUCCGUGCCAGCAGCCGCGGUAAUACGGAGGAGGCAAGCGUUAUCCGGAAUGAUUGGGCGUAA
This 449-nucleotide ribosomal RNA is filed under the name uncultured bacterium. RNAcentral describes it as "bacterial SSU rRNA". It matches the Rfam family "Bacterial small subunit ribosomal RNA", at positions 69 to 563 of the family's 1533-position model. The record is from RNAcentral.